CUGUAGUUUCCUGUAUUGAACCCGCGGCCCUUUCAAAGUGAUAAAGCGUUCGACAGCGCGAGGAAGACGCGCGGAUCCGGGCGCGGCGGAUCUGCCGGCCGGUGCGGCGGCUUGCUCCGGUGGCGGCGGCGAUGUCUUGCUCAUCCAGUUAAAGAGAGAGACAGGGUGUGAGGGGGAGAGGAAAGAGAGGAAGGCAUAGAAGGAGAAGUGUCGCAAGAUGAGGGAGGGAUCUCGCGGCUGGUGCGGGGGCUUGCUCGCAGCGGCGUCCGUCUCGUCCAGAGAAAGAGAGAGACAGGGCAUGAGGGAGAGAGGAAAGAGAGGAAGAAAGGAGAAGGAGAAUGGGCGCAAGGUGACGGAGACGGUCGCUGGCGGUGGCGCCUCCGGUGACCGGCCGGCGGCAGGGCGACCUGCACUUGGAGGAGGAGAACUGCGCAAGAUGGAUUCCAGCACCCUCCUACUCAUAUAAUGGUGAGACCUCCUUCCCUCUCUCCCUUCCAGAGCCAUAGGCUGACGACAAGGACAAGUCCCUGCUCGAGAAAACAGCAGGGAGCAACAUGAUUCACGGUCUAGAUUAGAACAACACUGAACUGAUAUAUUUUUUGUAGUACAGGAGCUUCAAGACAAAGGGCAUCAGGCUUCACGGCAACACAUUUAUCUAUAACUUUCUCCCCAAAUCUGAAAGUAUUUGGCCCCUAAAUUCUAAUUCUCAUUAGAAAGUCAGAGUAUUUGUGGAAUAUGGUCUAUGAAUAUUGACAAAUUUGAUUGCAGCAGGGGCGACAAAGUUAGUGCAGUCCUCACCGUGCACAUAUAUUUCAGGGUAAAAUCAAACUUCAGUUAGAAGGACAUGAUCAGGCAGGAGAUUCAUGCAGCAUUGGAUGUGAGAGGCCCUAAAUGCAUUUAGCAUGUGAAAAGAUGUGUUUAGUAUUGUUCCAAGUUGUUACCUUUCGAAAAGAGAACGCAACAGGGAUAAUUUUUUCUUCGAAGCACGAGUUAACCACAAGGAAUCUCCAUGCUUUUGCACCGGGUGUGAAAUCAACUUUGAAAAAUUGACAUGGCUAUUGUUUUUGCUUUUCCUGCUCAAGACAACAAAGGGAUUGUUCAGGCUGAUUUGUGUUUGUGCAGACAGACCUCAAGGAACCUCUGCCGAAGAUUUACGUGGUGAAGGACUCAAACUGUAUCUCACGUCCACUCGGCCACACCUGGGUUGGCUGCCAACAGCCCUCUGAUUGAACAACUGCUCCGUCUAUCCGAGUCUCUGUCGGUCGGCUGUUCUUCUCGGACAUCACCAUACAGCUCCUCAGCAGCAAACUCACGUGCUUCUCCACCAGAAUCAAUUCCCGAGCUGUUGAUAUCCCCUAUUCCUCUAAGGAUAUGCCCAUGGUGAAGCAAAAAAAAAUCAAGCUUUAUAAGCUCCGCGGCCUCAAGGCCAAUCCCCAGGUUGAUGCCACCGCUACUGACUUUGCCACAUCCCUAUUACAGUUUAAUUUUUAAUUUAUUAGAGAAACUGGAUCAGUGCUUGGGGCUGGUGUGCUACGGUUGGUUUAGGCAUGUGUCCAACAAGGCGGCGGCCACUAUAAGAUACUCUCCUGAGUUAGGACGGGUUUCGAAUUUGCUGCAUGAGAAAAAAUAAAAGAGAAAGGAAUGUGAUUUUUGCUGCUACUA
This is a long non-coding RNA of Triticum aestivum (bread wheat), 1662 nucleotides long. RefSeq lists it as uncharacterized. The transcript has 2 exons. The record is from RefSeq and is a predicted model, not a curated record. Lineage: Eukaryota; Viridiplantae; Streptophyta; Magnoliopsida; Poales; Poaceae.